AACGAACGCUGGCGGCACGUUUUAAGCAUGCAAGUCGAAUGGCAGUGGGGGCAACCCCAUGAGAAUGGCGAACGGGUGAGUAACACGUAGGUGAUCUGCCUGACGGAUGGGGAUAGCUUGUGGAAACACAGGGUAAUACCGAAUGAGCUGACGAGACUUUGGUUUUGUUAGUAAAGGUGCUACGGCACCGCCGACAGAUGAGCCUGCGGGUGAUUAGCUAGUUGGUGGGGGAAAGGCCUACCAAGGCGACGAUCAGUAGCCGGCCUGAGAGGGUGUACGGCCACACUGGAACUGAGACACGGUCCAGACUCCUACGGGAGGCAGCAGCUAAGAAUCUUCCGCAAUGGGCGAAAGCCUGACGGAGCGAUGCCGCGUGAUCGAUGAAGGUCGAGAGAUUGUAAAGAUCUUUUCUACAUGAGGAAUAAGUCUGGGAGGGAAUGCCUGGAUGAUGACGUUAGUGUAGGAAUAAGCCCCGGCUAAUUACGUGCCAGCAGCCGCCGUAA
RNAcentral lists this ribosomal RNA (503 nucleotides) under uncultured bacterium. Its description in RNAcentral is "partial 16S ribosomal RNA". It matches the Rfam family "Bacterial small subunit ribosomal RNA", at positions 29 to 523 of the family's 1533-position model. The record is from RNAcentral.